RNAcentral lists this ribosomal RNA (427 nucleotides) under uncultured Vibrio sp. Its description in RNAcentral is "bacterial SSU rRNA". It matches the Rfam family "Bacterial small subunit ribosomal RNA", at positions 353 to 772 of the family's 1533-position model. Lineage: Bacteria; Pseudomonadati; Pseudomonadota; Gammaproteobacteria; Vibrionales; Vibrionaceae. The record is from RNAcentral.
AGUGGGGAAUAUUGCACAAUGGGCGCAAGCCUGAUGCAGCCAUGCCGCGUGUAUGAAGAAGGCCUUCGGGUUGUAAAGUACUUUCAGCAGUGAGGAAGGGGAUGUCGUUAAUAGCGGCAUUUCUUGACGUUAGCUGCAGAAGAAGCACCGGCUAACUCCGUGCCAGCAGCCGCGGUAAUACGGAGGGUGCGAGCGUUAAUCGGAAUUACUGGGCGUAAAGCGCAUGCAGGUGGUUUGUUAAGUCAGAUGUGAAAGCCCGGGGCUCAACCUCGGAACUGCAUUUGAAACUGGCAAACUAGAGUACUGUAGAGGGGGGUAGAAUUUCAGGUGUAGCGGUGAAAUGCGUAGAGAUCUGAAGGAAUACCAGUGGCGAAGGCGGCCCCCUGGACAGAUACUGACACUCAGAUGCGAAAGCGUGGGGAGCAAA